UUUGAGGGAUCCCAGCCACAAGGGGCGGUGGUGGGGGCGGUGUUGUCCGUAGGCGGCCAGGAGUGCCUGGGCCUC
Non-coding RNA from Streptomyces avermitilis MA-4680 = NBRC 14893, 75 nucleotides. It matches the Rfam family "ASpks TB sRNA". NCBI's taxonomy places the organism in Bacteria, Bacillati, Actinomycetota, Actinomycetes, Kitasatosporales, Streptomycetaceae. The record is from Rfam.